Molecule: non-coding RNA, 74 nt
Organism: Phrynosoma platyrhinos (Desert horned lizard)
Lineage: Eukaryota; Metazoa; Chordata; Lepidosauria; Squamata; Phrynosomatidae
Source: the annotation of a GenBank genome assembly
UAUUAUGUGUGCUAUGGCGGUUUGAGCACUGGACUAGGAUUCUGGAGACCAGGGUUCAAAUCCCAGCUCAAUCA